AGAAAUGGUCAGUUGAGUAUGGU
Molecule: non-coding RNA, 23 nt
Filed under: Arabidopsis thaliana (thale cress)
Lineage: Eukaryota; Viridiplantae; Streptophyta; Magnoliopsida; Brassicales; Brassicaceae
Source: RNAcentral